CUGCACAUUGAUUUCCACUCAAGUCAAGAAGAGGUAACCAACUUUGAAACGUCUCACGUAGGAAAACGUAAACAUGUCAUUAUAGGACAUUUAUUAAGCUCUCAGAGCUUCACAGAGUCUCUUAACUGACGCGGUUUCAGUCGGUUCGUGUUUAUUCGGAGUAUUUAUGUCGCAUGUUCUUCACUGACACGUCCGCUCCCGCUCUUUUGAGUGGCUGUAGCUAGCUGUCAGCUAGCUAACAGUGAUGUCCUCGCUGUGGACAGAGCGACAGGGACAGCGAGAGGGACAGCGACAGGGACAGGGACAGGUGGGAGAGCUGAGCCACAAGAGCAGAGAAGAGCUCCAGGAGCUGCUGCUCAGACAAGAAAAGAUCCUCUCUAACAAGAGGUUAUUGAGGUCUCUUCCUGACAAAGGUGAAAAGAUAUCAGAGUUUGCAGAGAGAGUGCGUCUUGCCAUUGAGCAUCGUGAUGAAGAGGAGAGGAGACAGAGCUUGGUGUCUGCUGCCAGGACAGACUUACAGUCCAAGUACCAGCAAGCCUUCUCUAUGCAAACAUGUGCCGUCCCCAACUCACCAGCUGCCUCCAACCAAAGCAGGCAAAGUGAGUCUGCAGCAGGCAGCGUGCUCCAUGACAUGGAGGCCUCACCUGUCGGGGCUCGUGAGCAGGAACAGACUGCUUUGGACGAGCAACAGGACCAGUUUCUCUCCAGAGCAGCUGCCGGUGAAACCAUGGAGACGACUGCUGCUGGGGCCUCCGUGAACUGUGAGGAGACAAAAGAGGGUGAUCUUGUUGAGGCCUUGGAAAGGGUCAGAGUUUCUGAAACUGGUCUCAGAAGCGAGUCUAAAGAGCCAUUACACAGCACAGGAAGAGACAGUUAUUUUCUCAGAAAGCAGACACCAAAAAAGCCUCACUAUGUAACUGUCCUGGAAAGAACAGAGAAGACUUCAGGUCCCAGGAGACAGAAAUUCAAAACAAAUCAGCUUCCGCACAAAGAUGACAUUUCUCCAUCAGGUUCCUCGUCACCCAGCCAGUCUUCUGAAGGCUCAUCGCCACUCGCUGUCCAGGCCAGGAGGGAGAGGGACAGAAGACACCUGGACGACAUUACUGCAGCCAAACUACCUCCACUCCAUCACAGCCCAGCCCAGCUGCUGUCUCUGGAGGAGUCGGCCGUACUCUUAAAAGAACAAACCAAGAAGCAGCAGGAGUUGCAGGCCAAGCUGGCAGCCCAGAAACUGUCUGAGGGACUGAAGAUCUCUAUGGGGAGCUACACUCCUGACGGCGGCCCCAUGGCUGCCUACAGAGAGGUUCAUGAUGAAGGAGCCCAGCUCUCCUCAGAAGACGACUGAUCCUGGAAGGCAGGAGCUGGGGAAACCAGCGUGACCUUGGCCCGCGGGGAAACAGGCUUUGGACCUUGCAAUCAGGACGCAGUAAACAGGAUUUUCACUCCAAGGACAGGAAUUCUUUACAGAGAAAAGGGCUCUUUGCAUGUUGUGAAGCCAUAGUUAGUGUCCCACACUCAGGAAGCUGAGAGGCAGUUUGGGAGAGUGGUUCACGUAAUUGCCAUUCAAUUGGUAAUGGGAUCAUUUGUUUCUGUGUCCUGCAGGAAUAAGAAUACCUGUGACUGACUCUUUGAGUUAGAAGCAUAUACAACAUGAUGAAGGAAAUGCUUCUCGUCCGUUUACUGGAACCAGUCGUGUGGUGACUUUCUGAGACGUAGUUCUCAUCAUUGUUGUUAAGCUGCUGUGUUGGACCAUGUUUUAAAUACAUUUGAUUUUAAACGACAUCUGAAGGUCACCGUCAGUUCUUUCACAUGUCUAUCAGGGAGGGCUGAGUAAUAGAACCUGCUGAGUUCCUGCUCUGACGACGUUCCAAGCGAGCUGAGCCAAAACUAUGUGUGAUGUCAUCAGACUGCCAUCCACUGAUUGGUCAGAGUGUCGUCACUGGAAGAGUCGUGAGUGAGACGUCCGACAGGAGAAUCAAAGCCAGCAAUGUCCAACUGUAGAUCGAAGUUCAAAAGACUUAAAAAUCCUGAAAACAUGCGAUCAGCCCCAACAUUUAUGAAAGCAGAUGUCCACGAUGUCAAUAUUUAACAUUUAGAGACAGCACUGCCACCAUCAUGCAUCAUGCAUCCGCUCAUACAGGAACUACUGAACCAUUCUGUGAACAAAUCUUUUUAAUCAACUGAUUCUAAUGAUUGAGUUGCACUGAAAACAACUGCUUUACAAGUCACUGGUUUGUGUUGCGUCUAAAACAAAGUCACAUCAGUUUAACGCAGCCAUGCAGUGAUGGCUCCACCCACGUUGAGGAGGUAUGCUAACGGUAAACCAUACCAAACCGCGUGGAGCCGUGCU
Molecule: RNA transcript, 2350 nt
Organism: Solea solea (common sole)
Lineage: Eukaryota; Metazoa; Chordata; Actinopteri; Pleuronectiformes; Soleidae
Gene: polr2m
Gene name: RNA polymerase II subunit M
Exons: 6
Source: RefSeq, a predicted model, not a curated record